This 1393-nucleotide ribosomal RNA is filed under the name Salmonella enterica. RNAcentral's name for it is "partial 23S ribosomal RNA". It matches the Rfam family "Bacterial large subunit ribosomal RNA", at positions 1568 to 2925 of the family's 2925-position model. Lineage: Bacteria; Pseudomonadati; Pseudomonadota; Gammaproteobacteria; Enterobacterales; Enterobacteriaceae. The record is from RNAcentral.
GACGAGGCACUACGGUGCUGAAGCAACAAAUGCCCUGCUUCCAGGAAAAGCCUCUAAGCAUCAGGUAACAUCAAAUCGUACCCCAAACCGACACAGGUGGUCAGGUAGAGAAUACCAAGGCGCUUGAGAGAACUCGGGUGAAGGAACUAGGCAAAAUGGUGCCGUAACUUCGGGAGAAGGCACACUGACACGUAGGUGAAGUGGUUUACCCAUGGAGCUGAAGUCAGUCGAAGAUACCAGCUGGCUGCAACUGUUUAUUAAAAACACAGCACUGUGCAAACACGAAAGUGGACGUAUACGGUGUGACGCCUGCCCGGUGCCGGAAGGUUAAUUGAUGGGGUCAGCGCAAGCGAAGCUCCUGAUCGAAGCCCCGGUAAACGGCGGCCGUAACUAUAACGGUCCUAAGGUAGCGAAAUUCCUUGUCGGGUAAGUUCCGACCUGCACGAAUGGCGUAAUGAUGGCCAGGCUGUCUCCACCCGGGACUCAGUGAAAUUGAACUCGCUGUGAAGAUGCAGUGUACCCGCGGCAAGACGGAAAGACCCCGUGAACCUUUACUAUAGCUUGACACUGAACACUGGUCCUUGAUGUGCAGGAUAGGUGGGAGGCUUUGAAGUGUGGACGCCAGUCUGCAUGGAGCCAUCCUUGAAAUACCACCCUUUAAUGGCUGGUGUUCUAACGUGGGCCCGUGAACCGGGUUGCGGACAGUGUCUGGUGGGUAGUUUGACUGGGGCGGUCUCCUCCUAAAGAGUAACGGAGGAGCACGAAGGUUGGCUAAUCCUGGUCGGACAUCAGGAGGUUAGUGCAAUGGCAUAAGCCAGCUUGACUGCGAGCGUGACGGCGCGAGCAGGUGCGAAAGCAGGUCAUAGUGAUCCGGUGGUUCUGAAUGGAAGGGCCAUCGCUCAACGGAUAAAAGGUACUCCGGGGAUAACAGGCUGAUACCGCCCAAGAGUUCAUAUCGACGGCGGUGUUUGGCACCUCGAUGUCGGCUCAUCACAUCCUGGGGCUGAAGUAGGUCCCAAGGGUAUGGCUGUUCGCCAUUUAAAGUGGUACGCGAGCUGGGUUUAGAACGUCGUGAGACAGUUCGGUCCCUAUCUGCCGUGGGCGCUGGAAGAUUGAGGGGGGCUGCUCCUAGUACGAGAGGACCGGAGUGGACGCAUCACUGGUGUUCGGGUUGUCAUGCCAAUGGCACUGCCCGGUAGCUACAUGCGGAAGAGAUAAGUGCUGAAAGCAUCUAAGCACGAAACUUGCCCCGAGAUGAAUCUUCCCUGAGCCUUUAAGGCUCCUGAAGGAACGUUGAAGACGACGACGUUGAUAGGCCGGGUGUGUAAGCGCAGCGAUGCGUUGAGCUAACCGGUACUAAUGAACCGUGAGGCUUAACCUUACAACGCCGAAG